GCCUGGGUGGCUCAGUUGGUUAAGCAUCUGACUUCAGCUCAGGACAUGAUCUCAUGGUUCACGGGUUCGAGCCCUGUGUUGGGCU
RNAcentral lists this transfer RNA (85 nucleotides) under Felis catus (domestic cat). It matches the Rfam family "tRNA". Rfam says of the family: Transfer RNA (tRNA) molecules are approximately 80 nucleotides in length. Their secondary structure includes four short double-helical elements and three loops (D, anti-codon, and T loops). Further hydrogen bonds mediate the characteristic L-shaped molecular structure. tRNAs have two regions of fundamental functional importance: the anti-codon, which is responsible for specific mRNA codon recognition, and the 3' end, to which the tRNAs corresponding amino acid is attached (by aminoacyl-tRNA synthetases). tRNAs cope with the degeneracy of the genetic code in two manners: having more than one tRNA (with a specific anti-codon) for a particular amino acid; and 'wobble' base-pairing, i.e. permitting non-standard base-pairing at the 3rd anti-codon position. Lineage: Eukaryota; Metazoa; Chordata; Mammalia; Carnivora; Felidae. The record is from Rfam by way of RNAcentral.